GAGGAAAAGAAACUAACUAGGAUUCCCUUAGUAACGGCGAGUGAACCGGGAUGAGCUCAAAUUUAAAAUCUGGCGUCUUUCAGGCGUCCGAGUUGUAAUCUAUAGAGGCGUUUUCCGCGCCGGACCGCGUCCAAGUCUCUUGGAAUAGAGUAUCAAAGAGGGUGACAAUCCCGUACUUGACGCGACAACCGGUGCUCUGUGAUACGUUCUCAAUGAGUCGAGUUGUUUGGGAAUGCAGCUCUAAAUGGGUGGUAAAUUCCAUCUAAGGCUAAAUAUUGGCGAGAGACCGAUAGCGAACAAGUACCGUGAGGGAAAGAUGAAAAGCACUUUGGAAAGAGAGUUAAACAGCACGUGAAAUUGUUAAAAGGGAAACGAUUGAAGUCAGUCGUGUGAAAGGUAUUCAGCCGUCUCUGGCGGUGUAUUUGCCUUUCACGGGUCAACAUCAGUUUGAUCCGGUAGAAAAAGGCGGGAGGAAGGUGGCACCCUCGGGUGUGUUAUAGCCUCCUGUCAUAUGUGCCGGACCAGACUGAGGAACGCAGCUUGCCGCAAGGCCGGGGUUCGCCCACGUACAAGCUUAGGAUGUUGACAUAAUGGCUUUAAACGACCCG
This 608-nucleotide ribosomal RNA is filed under the name Vishniacozyma victoriae. RNAcentral's name for it is "eukaryotic LSU rRNA". It matches the Rfam family "Eukaryotic large subunit ribosomal RNA", at positions 53 to 651 of the family's 3401-position model. The record is from RNAcentral. Lineage: Eukaryota; Fungi; Basidiomycota; Tremellomycetes; Tremellales; Bulleribasidiaceae.